AGUGGCGAACGGGUGAGUAAUACGUGAGUAACCUGCCCUUGACUCUGGGAUAAGCCUGGGAAACUGGGUCCUAAUACUGGAUACGACAUGUCACCGCAUGGUGGUGUGUGGAAAGGGUUUUACUGGUUUUGGAUGGGCUCACGGCCUAUCAGCUUGUUGGUGGGGUAAUGGCUCACCAAGGCGACGACGGGUAGCCGGCCUGAGAGGGUGACCGGCCACACUGGGACUGAGACACGGCCCAGACUCCUACGGGAGGCAGCAGUGGGGAAUAUUGCACAAUGGGCGGAAGCCUGAUGCAGCGACGCCGCGUGAGGGAUGACGGCCUUCGGGUUGUAAACCUCUUUCAGCACGGAAGAACGAAAGUGACGGUACGUGCAAAAAG
Molecule: ribosomal RNA, 382 nt
Filed under: Kocuria sp. AyD-005
Lineage: Bacteria; Bacillati; Actinomycetota; Actinomycetes; Micrococcales; Micrococcaceae
Description: bacterial SSU rRNA
Rfam family: Bacterial small subunit ribosomal RNA
Source: RNAcentral